AACGGGUGAGUAAUACAUCGGAACGUGUCCGCUCGUGGGGGACAACCAGCCGAAAGGUUGGCUAAUACCGCAUGAGUUCUACGGAAGAAAGAGGGGGACCCGCAAGGGCCUCUCGCGAGCGGAGCGGCCGAUGACUGAUUAGCCGGUUGGUGAGGUAACGGCUCACCAAAGCAACGAUCAGUAGCUGGUCUGAGAGGACGACCAGCCACACUGGGACUGAGACACGGCCCAGACUCCUACGGAAGGCAGCAG
This 252-nucleotide ribosomal RNA is filed under the name uncultured bacterium. Its description in RNAcentral is "partial 16S ribosomal RNA". It matches the Rfam family "Bacterial small subunit ribosomal RNA", at positions 101 to 354 of the family's 1533-position model. The record is from RNAcentral.